UACUCGAGUGGCGAACGGGUGAGUAACACGUGGGUGAUCUGCCUUGCACUCUGGGAUAAGCUUGGGAAACUGGGUCUAAUACCGGAUAGGAACCGUCUUUAGUGUGGUGGUUGGAAAGUUUUUUCGGUGUGGGAUGAGCUUGCGGCCUAUCAGCUUGUUGGUGGGGUAAUGGCCUACCAAGGCGUCGACGGGUAGCCGGCCUGAGAGGGUGUACGGCCACAUUGGGACUGAGAUACGGCCCAG
RNAcentral lists this ribosomal RNA (243 nucleotides) under uncultured Actinomycetales bacterium. Its description in RNAcentral is "partial 16S ribosomal RNA". It matches the Rfam family "Bacterial small subunit ribosomal RNA", at positions 88 to 334 of the family's 1533-position model. Lineage: Bacteria; Bacillati; Actinomycetota; Actinomycetes; Actinomycetales. The record is from RNAcentral.